This 406-nucleotide ribosomal RNA is filed under the name uncultured bacterium. RNAcentral's name for it is "partial 16S ribosomal RNA". It matches the Rfam family "Bacterial small subunit ribosomal RNA", at positions 29 to 526 of the family's 1533-position model. The record is from RNAcentral.
AUCGAACGCUGGCGGCAGGCCUAACACAUGCAAGUCGAACGAGUGGCGGACGGGUGAGUAAUGUCUGGGAAACUGCCUGAUGGAGGGGGAUAACUACUGGAAACGGUAGCUAAUACCGCAUACCAUCGGAUGUGCCCAGAUGGGAUUAGCUAGUGGGUGGGGUAAAGGCUCACCUAGGCGACGAUCCCUAGCUGGGCUGAGAGGAUGACCGGCCAAACGGGAACUGGGACACGGUCCAGACUCCUACGGGGGGAAGCAGGGGGGAAUUUUGCACAAUGGGGGAAAGCCGGAUGCAGCAAGGCGGCGUGUAUGAAGAAGGCCUUCGGGUUGUAAAGUACUUUCAGCGGGGAGGCGUUACCCGCAGAGGAAGCAACGGCUAACUCCGUGCCAGCAGCCGCGGUAAUUC